RNAcentral lists this ribosomal RNA (1551 nucleotides) under Triticum aestivum (bread wheat). RNAcentral's name for it is "partial small subunit ribosomal RNA". The record is from RNAcentral. Lineage: Eukaryota; Viridiplantae; Streptophyta; Magnoliopsida; Poales; Poaceae.
AUGGCGAUCCGCAUGACCGUCUCCUACUCCGGCUACGUGGCGCAGAGCCUGGCCUCCACCUUCGGCCUGCGCUGCACCACCGCCGCCGCCGCGGGCUCCGGGGCCGCGCCCGGCGCCGGCUGCCGCGUCCUCCAGGACGCGCUCUCCCGCCCCUUCUGCCUCUUCGCCUCCUCGCGCCGCGUCGAGCAGCACAAUGACGCCGAGGACCACAACCACCCCAAGCCCAAGCCCAGGCCCAAGCCUCUCCCGCCCGCCACCGCCGGUGCCGGCCGCUCCGCCAAGGCUCUCCCUGUCGCAGCCGCCGGAGGCAGGCAGCUGACCAAGCUCGUCCCCGCCGACGGGGGCAGCUACUCGCUGUUCGUCUCGCCGUCCGGCUCGACAAAGGCGGAUGACCCGCCGUCGCUGGCGGUGGGGUUGCUGUCGGUGCUCGCGUCCGGGGUCGGCUCGGGCCCUGGCAUAGCCGGCGUGUCCUCGCUGUCGGCGUCGCCGUCGAUAUCGUCCGGGCUGAACCCUGCCACGCUGCUCCCGUUCUUGCAGGCCACAAAGUGGCUCCCUUGUAGUGAUAUCAUCACCGGUGCAUCAUCCCGCAGGUCGGUACGCCCUGCGGAUGUGUCGACGGCGCCCACACAUGUGCCUUCCCGCCGCCCUUUGCCUUCGCCUGUGCCCUCCCCUGCGGUGGCUGCCCCUUCGAAGGCGGGCGUGAUGGCCUUGCUUGGUAGCAGCGGUGUGGUGGCUGCCCCCACCAAGAUGGGCGUCAAGGCAUUGUUUGGUAGCAGUGGUGCGGUGGCUGCCCCUUCCAAGGUGGGCAGCGUAGUAGCGCCGUUAGUUGGUAGUAGUGCAGUUGCUUCUGGUGCUGCUGGGGUGGUGAGACAGAGCAGUGCUGCUCUUGGUGGUGCUGCUGGGGUGGUCAGACAGAGCAGUGCCGCUCUUGGUGCUGCUGCAGGGGCGAGCAAGAGAACUAGCUGGCUGUCUAGGUGGGUGAACUCCUGCUCGGAUGAUGCAAAGACCGUUCUUGCUGCUGUGACUGUACCACUGCUCCAUAAAUCCUCCCUGGCGGAACCGAGGUCCAUCCCUUCGAAAUCAAUGUAUCCAACAUUUGAUGUUGGUGACCGGAUUCUCGCCGAGAGGGUUUCAUAUAUUUUCCGGGAGCCGCAAGUUUUGGACAUUGUGAUCUUCCGUGCACCCCUAGUCCUUCAGGCAUUGGGCUACAGCUCAAGUGAUGUGUUCAUCAAGAGGGUUGUGGCCAAGGGCGGGGACAUCGUUGAAGUGACUGAUGGUCAAUUAUUAGUUAAUGGAGUCGUCCAAGAUGAGGACUUUGUGCUCGAGCCACCCGAUUAUGAAAUGGACCCGGUGAGUGUGCCUGAAGGCUACGUGUUUGUGCUGGGGGACAACAGAAACAACAGCUUCGAUUCCCAUAACUGGGGACCGCUACCCGUGAAGAACAUUCUUGGGAGAUCUGUGCUUCGAUACUGGCCACCAUCGAAAAUAACAGACACAAUUUAUGAUCACAUUGACCAUGAUGUGGUUCAUGGCAUGGCAGGCAUCUCCUGA